RNAcentral lists this ribosomal RNA (253 nucleotides) under uncultured bacterium. RNAcentral's name for it is "partial 16S ribosomal RNA". It matches the Rfam family "Bacterial small subunit ribosomal RNA", at positions 524 to 776 of the family's 1533-position model. The record is from RNAcentral.
UACGUAGGGGGCUAGCGUUGUCCGGAAUCAUUGGGCGUAAAGAGCGUGUAGGCGGUCCGGUAAGUCCGCUGUGAAAGUCGGGGGCUCAACCCUCGAAUGCCGGUGGAUACUGUCGGGCUAGAGUGCGGAAGAGGCGAGUGGAAUUCCUGGUGUAGCGGUGAAAUGCGUAGAUAUCUGGAGGAACACCGGUGGCGAAGGCGACAUCCUGGACCGGUAUUGACGCUGAGGCGCGAAAGCCAGGGGAGCAAACGGG